RNAcentral lists this ribosomal RNA (495 nucleotides) under uncultured bacterium. RNAcentral's name for it is "partial 16S ribosomal RNA". It matches the Rfam family "Bacterial small subunit ribosomal RNA", at positions 28 to 523 of the family's 1533-position model. The record is from RNAcentral.
GAUGAACGCUAGCGGGAGGCCUAACACAUGCAAGCCGAGCGGUAGAGAUUCUUCGGAAUCUUGAGAGCGGCGUACGGGUGCGGAACACGUGUGCAACCUGCCUUUAUCAGGGGGAUAGCCUUUCGAAAGGAAGAUUAAUACCCCAUAAUAUAUUGAAUGGCAUCAUUUGAUAUUGAAAACUCCGGUUGAUAGAGAUGGGCACGCGCAAGAUUAGAUAGUUGGUGAGGUAACGGCUCACCAAGUCUACGAUCUUUAGGGGGCCUGAGAGGGUGAUCCCCCACACUGGUACUGAGACACGGGACAGACUCCUGCGGGAGGCAGCAGUGCGGAAUAUUGGACAAUGGGUGCGAGCCUGAUCCAGCCAUCCCGCGUGAAGGACGACGGCCCUAUGGGUUGUAAACUUCUUUUGUAUAGGGAUAAACCUAGAUACGUGUAUCUAGCUGAAGGUACUAUACGAAUAAGCACCGGCUAACUCCGUGCCAGCAGCCGCCGCAG